This is a non-coding RNA of Pelobates fuscus (common spadefoot toad), 141 nucleotides long. RefSeq annotates it as small Cajal body-specific RNA 11. The record is from RefSeq and is a predicted model, not a curated record. NCBI's taxonomy places the organism in Eukaryota, Metazoa, Chordata, Amphibia, Anura, Pelobatidae. The transcript has a single exon.
GGGCCCCUCUUAUUGUUUUUUAGGGCCCCCACCCACCGCUCAGGGGUGGGGGCCAGAAGGGGAGGACAGUAGGUCCCCUCCUUAUUGUUUUUAGGGCCCCCUCCCACUGCUGAGGGGUGGGGGCCAAGGGGGGAGGACAGU